CUUAUAUGUGCUAUCGCACUCAUUUGUUAACGAACCAUUAUAGCCAACUUCAAAUCCUGGCAAAAUUGAAUAUUGCCCUAUAAAAUACCACAAAAUUCCCGAGUAGGAUUGUAUCAAGCUACGGUCACACUUGAUUUGCAUACUUCCGUUCUCUUUUCGUGAAGGCGUGAUCGAGUGCAGUUUAACUUUAUGCAAAAUCCAUGAUUAAAAAUCCACGAGCAUCGUGUGGUUUGGAUAAUAGUUUUUCAAGGCAAAUACUGCCAAGUGAUAGUUUCCUUUAACUGCGUCGCUGCCGGUCCCACAUUUGGAGAUAGAAUUCUUAGUGGCUGCGUCGCCAAGGCGAAAUAUUUACAACUGCUUGCAUCAGGAGCACCCACCGCGUGCAGCGGAAAGCUGGGCUUGUCCUCUUCUACUGCCGACAGAUCGCAGGUCAACCCACCACCCCAGAGUUGGCGUUCUUUUUUUCUACUCUUCAUCGCCGCACGCAGGAAGCAGAUCGCCGUGCAUCCAUUUUAUGCACAAGUCAGCUUGGUGUCUUCUUCAUCCGUGCGCAUUCCAAGAAUAUUUGUGCACAACACGAGCCCCAGGCUGUUGGCCUUGUCGCUGCGUAUGCUGCGAACGUGAAGCAGCCGCAACACGAAUGAUCGUGUCCAGUAUUAAGUAUCUUUAGAAUAGUUUUUUCAUAAUUGUGUUAAUUUUACCUAAAAAUAUUUACUUAUAAAUUUCUACGAUUCUAAUUUAGCUUAACUUGUGGGAGAUCUGACAAGUAUAUAUAUGUGAUUUUCCCGAUUUAUAUUAAUACCUACAGCAAAUCAUCAACAGUCAUCAGGCCUGCUGACAUCGAUGGAAAGUGCGUGAGUACGGAACAAAAAUAAUAAAAACACACACGUAUAUAUAAAAAGUCAGAUAUUCCUAAAUAGUGUGCUUAAAAUACCUUGCCUUAAUUAAUCAUAUAUCUAGAUCUCUUAAUUUAAAGAAGUUUAAAGUUUAAAUAUACAUUAAUCAUACAUAAUUCUAUUGUAAAGUAAGCCAAACAAACAUAAGUAGUAAUGUAAACUUAAAUACCAAUAUUUGCAUUCCUAUCAUAAUUAUUUUUCCUUUAUUUUGUCGUGGAUAAGCAAAAUUACUCAAUAAGAGAUUUCCUUAACGUAAAUAACGUAAUUUUUAGUUUAAGGAUUAGGUUUAGGAAAAUGUAUCGAAAUAUUAUCUUUAUCUUCAAUUAUAUGGGGUCGAAAAUGAACUAAUCUGAUGUCUUGUUGGGCACCAAAGGGUAUGUAAAGCAGCGGUUGUAAAAGGGUGGAGUCCGAAUGUAUUUUACAGGUAAGGCCAAUAACAUCUGGGCCUCAUCUUCAAUAGGUACACUUUCUUGUCUGGGUCUUAGCCGUUUGGUUAUCGUUUUGCAUCUAUCGUAUCUCUGUCCACAGUAUUGUAGCUGUGACACUCUUGUUCAUCUCAACACAAAACCCACGCCCAUUCUCCCUGAGCAUGCCGGUCAAAAUAGUAGACAGAGUGUGUUGAGGUGGACAACGCUCUAUGAGUGUGUUCGUUACAGUUAUAACCUACUGUUCACAAGGUGUUAGUUCAUGGGCAUCAAAUUAUAGAUAAUUGUUUGGUGCCUGUUGGCUGUCUUGGUGAGCAUGCGUCCGAAUCGAGGAACAAAUUAUAUAAGAGCGAUCGGAGAAGAAAUGCAAGAAAAUGCAGUCGCCUAGAUACUAUGACCGAUAUUUUUAACAGAGCUCUAGAUACGUCUGAUCCUUGUUGUCUAGUAUUUAUUUAAAAGAAAGACAAAGGAAAAAUAAAAACAAAAAUAUGCCGCAAGAGGUAAUUUCUCUACUUAAAUCACCAUGCGUUGGAAGCGAUCAUGAUGACCAUGGUGAUUUCCAGGACAUCGACGAGGGCGAGAAGGACGAUGAAUGAGAACUUCUACAGAAAGAUCAUGAACUUGAUGUAAUAGCCUCAGACGAAGAGUUUUUUUAAAUUAAUAAAUAAUAAGUUUAAUUUUUUUG
Molecule: long non-coding RNA, 2006 nt
Organism: Drosophila simulans
Lineage: Eukaryota; Metazoa; Arthropoda; Insecta; Diptera; Drosophilidae
Exons: 2
Source: RefSeq, a predicted model, not a curated record